GAGUUUGAUCAUGGCUCAGAGUGAACGCUGGCGGCGUGCUUAACACAUGCAAGUCGAACGGAACCUUCGGGUUUAGUGGCGCACGGGUGAGUAAUGUAUAGCUAACAUGCCCUUUGGAGGGGGAUAACAGUUGGAAACGACUGCUAAUACCCCAUACUCCUUCUCAUUAUAAGAUGAGUCGGGAAAGUUUUUUCGCUAAAGGAUUGGGCUAUAUGGUAUCAGCUUGUUGGUGAGGUAACGGCUCACCAAGGCUAUGACGCCUAACUGGUCUGAGAGGAUGAUCAGUCACACUGGAACUGAGACACGGUCCAGACUCCUACGGGAGGCAGCAGUGGGGAAUAUUACACAAUGGAGGAAACUCUGAUGUAGCAACGCCGCGUGGAGGAUGACACAUUUCGGUGCGUAAACUCCUUUUAUAUGGGAAGAUAAUGACGGUACCAUAUGAAUAAGCACCGGCUAACUCCGUGCCAGCCAGCCGCGGUAAUACGGAGGGUGCAAGCGUUACUCGGAAUCACUGGGCGUAAAGCGCAUGUAGGCGGCCUUGUAAGUUGGGUGUGAAAGCCUAUGUGUUCACCAUAGAACUGCACCCAAAACUACUAGACUAGAGCCUGAGAGAGGAAAAAUGGAAUUAGUUGUGUAGGGGGUAAAAUCCGUAGGAGAUAACUAGGAAUACCCAAAAGCAAAGGCAAUUUUCUGGAAACAGUACUGACGCUUCAGAUGGGAAAGCGUGGGUAGCAAACAGGGAUUAGAUACCGUGGUAGCCCACCCCCUAAACGAUGAAUGGUUAGUCGUCGGGAGGCUUCGUCCUUUUCCGGUGAUGCAGCUAACGCAUUUAAACAUUCCGCCUGGGGGAGUACGGUCGCAAGAUUAAAACUCAAAGGAAUAAGACGGGGACCCGCACAAGUGGUGGAGCAUGUGGUUUAAUUCGAAGAUACGCGAAGAACCUUACCUAGCCUUGACAUUGAUAGAAUCCGAAUGGAAACAUUGGAGUGCCAGUUUACUGGGAGCUUGAAAACAGGUGCUGCACGGCUGUCGUCAGCUCGUGUCGUGAGAUGUUGGGAUAAGUCCCGCAACGAGCGCAACCCUCGUCCUUAGUUACUAACGGUUCGGCCGAGGCCUCUAAGGAGACUGCCUUCGUAAGGAGGAGGAAGGUGAGGACGACGUCAAGUCAUCAUGGCCCUUACGGCUAGGGCGACACACGUGCUACAAUGGAUAGGACAAUGAGACGCAAUACCGCGAGGUGGAGCAAAUCUAUAAACCUAUUCUCAGUUCGGAUUGUAGUCUGCAACUCGACUACAUGAAGCUGGAAUCACUAGUAAUCGUAGAUCAGCCAUGCUACGGUGAAUACGUUCCCGGGUCUUGUACUCACCGCCCGUCACACCAUGGGAGUUGAUUUCACCCGAAGCGGGGAAGCUAAACUGGCUACCCUCCACGGUGGAAUCAGCGACUGGGGUGAAGUCGUAACAAGGUAACC
This 1474-nucleotide ribosomal RNA is filed under the name uncultured Campylobacterota bacterium. Its description in RNAcentral is "bacterial SSU rRNA". It matches the Rfam family "Bacterial small subunit ribosomal RNA". The record is from RNAcentral. Lineage: Bacteria; Pseudomonadati; Campylobacterota.